UCCGUGCCGAAGCUAACGCAUUAAGUGCCCCGCCUGGGGAGUACGGCCGCAAGGCUAAAACUCAAAGGAAUUGACGGGGAGCCGCACAAGCGGUGGAUUAUGUUCUUUAAUUCGAUGAUAACCGAUGAACCUUACCAGGGUUUGACAUCCUUGGAAUUACUAUGAAAGUAGUGAGUGCUUUAUUGAACCAAGUGACAGAUGUUGCAUGGCCGUCGUCAGCUCGUGUCGUGAGAUGUUUGGUUAAGUCCAUCAACGAGCGCAACCCUUGCAAGUAGUUGUAUUUUUCUACUUGGACUGCCCCGGUAACGGGGAGGAAGGUGGGGAUGACGUGGGAGAGUACGUCC
Molecule: unclassified non-coding RNA, 344 nt
Filed under: uncultured bacterium
Lineage: Bacteria
Description: contains 16S-23S intergenic spacer region
Rfam family: Bacterial small subunit ribosomal RNA
Source: RNAcentral